This is a long non-coding RNA of Xenia sp. Carnegie-2017, 296 nucleotides long. RefSeq lists it as uncharacterized. NCBI's taxonomy places the organism in Eukaryota, Metazoa, Cnidaria, Anthozoa, Malacalcyonacea, Xeniidae. The transcript has 2 exons. The record is from RefSeq and is a predicted model, not a curated record.
UCCAACGCGCUAAUCCAUUGCGCCACGGAGAUCACAUGCUGAUGCUAUGGAUAUGCAGAGUGUAAAUUUUAAGCAAAUAAACUUUCCACAUUUUUUGGCAGAUAUGGCAGCCAAGACAGAACAGACAAUGCUUUUAUAUCCAAUCCUUACUGACAAGCUAAUGAAUUUUACUUAUUACUCGUUUAAUUGUCAACGUUGUAACUGGUUUUAACAGAACUUCCAACUACAUGACUAUGGUGCUGUGAUGAUAAAUGUAGUUGCACGUAGCAGUUUGACGUGUGUUUAUAUUGUUCGAA